RNAcentral lists this ribosomal RNA (1372 nucleotides) under uncultured bacterium. Its description in RNAcentral is "bacterial SSU rRNA". It matches the Rfam family "Bacterial small subunit ribosomal RNA", at positions 28 to 1381 of the family's 1533-position model. The record is from RNAcentral.
GAUGAACGCUGGCGGCGUGCCUAAUACAUGCAAGUCGAGCGAACGGACGAGAAGCUUGCUUCUCUGAUGUUAGCGGCGGACGGGUGAGUAACACGUGGAUAACCUACCUAUAAGACUGGGAUAACUUCGGGAAACCGGAGCUAAUACCGGAUAAUAUUUUGAACCGCAUGGUUCAAAAGUGAAAGACGGUCUUGCUGUCACUUAUAGAUGGAUCCGCGCUGCAUUAGCUAGUUGGUAAGGUAACGGCUUACCAAGGCAACGAUGCAUAGCCGACCUGAGAGGGUGAUCGGCCACACUGGAACUGAGACACGGUCCAGACUCCUACGGGAGGCAGCAGUAGGGAAUCUUCCGCAAUGGGCGAAAGCCUGACGGAGCAACGCCGCGUGAGUGAUGAAGGUCUUCGGAUCGUAAAACUCUGUUAUUAGGGAAGAACAUAUGUGUAAGUAACUGUGCACAUCUUGACGGUACCUAAUCAGAAAGCCACGGCUAACUACGUGCCAGCAGCCGCGGUAAUACGUAGGUGGCAAGCGUUAUCCGGAAUUAUUGGGCGUAAAGCGCGCGUAGGCGGUUUUUUAAGUCUGAUGUGAAAGCCCACGGCUCAACCGUGGAGGGUCAUUGGAAACUGGAAAACUUGAGUGCAGAAGAGGAAAGUGGAAUUCCAUGUGUAGCGGUGAAAUGCGCAGAGAUAUGGAGGAACACCAGUGGCGAAGGCGACUUUCUGGUCUGUAACUGACGCUGAUGUGCGAAAGCGUGGGGAUCAAACAGGAUUAGAUACCCUGGUAGUCCACGCCGUAAACGAUGAGUGCUAAGUGUUAGGGGGUUUCCGCCCCUUAGUGCUGCAGCUAACGCAUUAAGCACUCCGCCUGGGGAGUACGACCGCAAGGUUGAAACUCAAAGGAAUUGACGGGGACCCGCACAAGCGGUGGAGCAUGUGGUUUAAUUCGAAGCAACGCGAAGAACCUUACCAAAUCUUGACAUCCUUUGACAACUCUAGAGAUAGAGCUUUCCCCUUCGGGGGACAAAGUGACAGGUGGUGCAUGGUUGUCGUCAGCUCGUGUCGUGAGAUGUUGGGUUAAGUCCCGCAACGAGCGCAACCCUUAAGCUUAGUUGCCAUCAUUAAGUUGGGCACUCUAAGUUGACUGCCGGUGACAAACCGGAGGAAGGUGGGGAUGACGUCAAAUCAUCAUGCCCCUUAUGAUUUGGGCUACACACGUGCUACAAUGGACAAUACAAAGGGCAGCGAAACCGCGAGGUCAAGCAAAUCCCAUAAAGUUGUCCUCAGUUCGGAUUGUAGUCUGCAACUCGACUACAUGAAGCUGGAAUCGCUAGUAAUUGUAGAUCAGCAUGCUACGGUGAAUACGUUCCCGGGUCU